Molecule: ribosomal RNA, 351 nt
Filed under: Triticum aestivum (bread wheat)
Lineage: Eukaryota; Viridiplantae; Streptophyta; Magnoliopsida; Poales; Poaceae
Description: partial small subunit ribosomal RNA
Source: RNAcentral
AUGGUCGGCAUAAGCUGCCACCACCACACCGCCGACGGCCAUUCCAUGAGCAUGUUCUUCGCCGCGUGGGCAAAGGCGGUGCGCGAGGGUAAGGACUUCACCACACCGACCCCGUUCCUCGACCGUGCGAGAACCGCCGUGCCUCGAAUCACGCUGACGCCGGUGUUCGACCACCGGUCACUGGAGUUCACGUGUGGAGAUGGAGACGCCUACGCCAUCGUCCCCAUGGACAGGAUCAAAAACCUCACUCUGCACUUCACGGCCGAGUUCGUCGCCGACCUCAAAUCCCGCGUGGGCGCCCAUUGCAGCACGUUCCAAUGCCUACUCACGCACGUUCCACGUGGGACCUGA